RNAcentral lists this unclassified non-coding RNA (205 nucleotides) under uncultured fungus. RNAcentral describes it as "sequence contains ITS1". The record is from RNAcentral. Lineage: Eukaryota; Fungi.
GUACAUUAGUGCUUGCGCACGACAAUAAUUUCAUUACAUUCGAGUGGGUGUAAAAAAUCCUCUGCCAGCCAAAGCUAGCAAGAGGCCAAAGGUUCACAGGGGUAUUGGAUGAAAAGCCGCCAACGUGCACUUGCCAGAGCUGGCCAGCACUGAAGACAACGAUUCGCAAUCAUUAAUGAUCCUUCCGCAGGUUCACCUACGGAAA